This 403-nucleotide ribosomal RNA is filed under the name uncultured bacterium. RNAcentral's name for it is "partial 16S ribosomal RNA". It matches the Rfam family "Bacterial small subunit ribosomal RNA", at positions 29 to 526 of the family's 1533-position model. The record is from RNAcentral.
AUUGAACGCUGGCGGCAGGCCUAACACAUGCAAGUCGAGCGAGCGGCGGACGGGUGAGUAAUGUAUGGGGACUGCCCGAUCGAGGGGGAUAACUACUGGAAACGGUGGCUAAUACCGCAUACUAUCGGAUAACCCAUAUGGGUUUAGCUAGUAGGUGGGGUAAAGGCUCACCUAGGCGACGCUCUCUAGCUGGUCUGAGCGGAGGAUCAGCCACACGGGGAUGGAGACACGGCCCAGCCUCCUAAGGAGGAAGCAGUGGGGAAGAUUGCACAAUGGGCGCAAGCCUGAGGCAGCCAGGCCGCGGGUAGGAAGAAGGCCUUAGGGUUGUAAAGUACUUUCAGCGGGGAGGCGUUACCCGCAGAAGAAGCACCGGCUAACUCCGUGCCAGCAGCCGCGGUAAUUC